GACCGCCACACCAUCUCCUCGCCUUCCCUUCUCAUUUGUUCGCGCUACUUUUUUUGUUCAGACGGGUAACUAGGUAGCUGGAUCUCUUCGAGAGGUGGUAUGAUAGAGGAUGCACAACGAGGCAAAAACUAGCCAUGUUGCCAGUAGAAACGGGGAGGAUGAGGCCAAGAGGGGGUGGACUUCUGGAUCAAGAACUGUGAGUGCCUUCUGCUGUAUUAGUUCAUUUGUGUAAAAUUUUCUAAUUCUUUGCUAUGCAAGAAUACAUGUGAUUUCAUUAAUAAACAAACAAACAUUCAAUCUGGAUUCUGGAAUAGCAUAUUAAAUGAGCAGACAUUGUAUCUUUUGACAAGCCGACUGCAGUUCUUUUUUAACAUUUUACCUUCUAUUGCAUUUUUUCUUGCACUUCUUUUUCCAAAGAGUUGUAUUUUAGUGAGAGUUUACUUAGGUUUAUCCUGAGCCAUUAAAAUUGAUAUAUAAGAACCUAUAUGCUUUUUAGCACUAAGAUAAUCCACACUUUAUACCUAAACAAUAGCACACAAGUUGUCAUUUGCAAGAUCUAUAUUUGAUCCAGCUUCACUUAUGUCAUCAUUAUCAUCUACUUCUAUUCUAUAGAUGUUGGCUGCCCCAUCAGGCUUCGAGCAGCUGGACAGCUCCAAAUUUCUUUUAUUGUCUUUACCUGAUAUUUUGAUUUUGCUGUGGAGGCCACGCGUGGCCACCACCAGCGGCUGGGAGCUGCAUAGAGUCUAGAGUUCUAACUUUUUUACUGUCCUUAGCUGCUAUCGUUACUGUUUUAUGGAGGCACUUUUCCCAUUUCUCCUAAAGUAAACUGACACUACGGUACUCAAUAUGUUGCCAACGACCCUUGGGAUGAAUAAGAUCAACUUUAAGCUUCUCCACAAAGCAAUAUCUCGAAAAAAUGAACUAAAAAAUUAAUUUGUGUCAUAGAUUGAUUAUGGCACUGAUAUACAUUUUUGAGUUCUGAUGAAAAUAAAUUCAUAUUAAAUUAUGCUAUCGGACCAUUUUGUCAAUCGUACGUCUACACAUGUGCAUGUUCCUAUAUAUCUAAACUACUGAAUGUACAUGUGCAUGUUCCUAUAAAUGGUUGCACAUAUAGUUGAUUAUGCCACUGAUACACGCCUUUUGGGCUAUGAUGAAAAAUAAAUUCAAGUUAAAUUAUGCUGUCAGACCAUUUUGUCAAUCGUACAUCUACACAUGUACAUAUUCUUAUAUAUAUCUAAACUACUAAAUAUAUUCUAACAUAUUUCACUUGACCUGUAGGCUUCAUCGUGAGUAUUUUUUAAGGAAUAGAUCCCCAAUGAAAUGGAUACCCUUACAGGAUGACAAUGAUCCUCAACGAAAUGGAUACCCUUACAGGAUCGCAAUGAUCCUUAUUUUUGGAAACAUGUUAUUCUCUUUGAAUUUCACUAUGUGUUCAUUGAUCAUCAUUUUGCAGGAUGACAAUGAUGAGUACAACGAAAAUAGGAGAUCUAAUGGAAAAU
This 1499-nucleotide long non-coding RNA is filed under the name Zea mays. RNAcentral's name for it is "long non-coding RNA (ZMAY_LNC004603)". The record is from RNAcentral. Lineage: Eukaryota; Viridiplantae; Streptophyta; Magnoliopsida; Poales; Poaceae.